AAUGAAUUGUAAUCGGAGUUGAUGCUGGCAGCUUGGCUGCAUGUGCUCACUCCUAACAAUCUUCAUCCAAACACCUGUGCACAUUUAGAGAGGGUCUCUGAGUUCUCCUUGGAGUCCCUUCCUCUCAUUAUACACUUUAUUUUAAUAUUGAACGUGAUUGUGCCGUGAGGCCUUAAUAUUAAUACAACUUUUAACAACGGAUCUCUUGGCUCUCGCAUCGAUGAAGAACGCAGCGAAAUGCGAUAAGUAAUGUGAAUUGCAGAAUUCAGUGAAUCAUCGAAUUUUUGAACGCACCUUGCGCUCCCUGGUAUUCCGGGGAGCACGCCUGUUCGAGUGUCGUGAAAUUCUCAAACUGAGAUGCUUUUUUGUUUCUCGGCUUGGUGUUGGGCUUUGCAGUCCCCUUUGAUUGGGAUGGCUGGCCUCAAAAGCAUUAGCUGGCUUUUCAUGUGGCAUUGGUUCUACUCAGCGUGAUAAUGAUCUGACCGCCGAGGACAUCUUUCGAGAUGGCCAAUUCUCAUUUGGGCUGCUUCUAAUCUUGGUCGAGCAGAUUCUGAAUCUGUUCCACUUUUCAACUUUUGACCUCGA
This 585-nucleotide small RNA is filed under the name uncultured Clavulina. RNAcentral's name for it is "eukaryotic LSU rRNA". The stretch from base 186 to 339 matches the Rfam family "5.8S ribosomal RNA". Lineage: Eukaryota; Fungi; Basidiomycota; Agaricomycetes; Cantharellales; Hydnaceae. The record is from RNAcentral.